Molecule: long non-coding RNA, 573 nt
Organism: Sarcophilus harrisii (Tasmanian devil)
Lineage: Eukaryota; Metazoa; Chordata; Mammalia; Dasyuromorphia; Dasyuridae
Exons: 2
Source: RefSeq, a predicted model, not a curated record
UUGGUAGUGAAUCAGAGCAGCGUACUGUGGAAUUAGAAAUAAGCUCUAAGUAGUCAAUACCUGUGGCAGUCCUUUCUGGCAACCUUUACAUGUUAUUAUGGUUCAGGCUAAAUGGAAUUGCUCAAACCAUAUGUGGUUAGUAACAAACACCAUUAGGGGCCCUGGGAGUAUUGAAAUUUAUUUCCUCCUUAGGGGAGAAAAUGGAUGAGGUCAGAGUACUUCACUAUGCUUACUACACCCUGUGGUGUAUCUGAGAAAGGCAGAUGGCAACUGGUAACUCAUAGCAACUACAGGGAGCUGAAUCAAGUUGUCACAACCACUGCUACAACUCUUCCUGACCUUGUAAUAUAGUAGACCAGACAUAUCAUCAUCUACAUCACUGCCAGUGCCCUCUAUUGCAAGAAUACCAUUCCUGAUGGCAGGAAUCAUGUACAGCUGCUGGAUCACUGAAUUCAUAUAACAAGUAGCACCAGCAUUUUUCAGACCCACAAAUCCCUUUGGUGGACGAGGUCCAACAGGUGGCAGAUAUUCCCAUUCUGUAAGUGCCUCACAAGCUGAGAAUGAUUAAAAAAA